Molecule: microRNA precursor, 131 nt
Filed under: Pteropus vampyrus (large flying fox)
Lineage: Eukaryota; Metazoa; Chordata; Mammalia; Chiroptera; Pteropodidae
Description: miRNA (ENSPVAG00000027417.1)
Rfam family: mir-1302 microRNA precursor family (bases 38-89)
Source: RNAcentral
CCAGCUAAAUUUGAAUUUCAGAUAAAUAAUAAAUAAUGUUUUAGUAUAAGUAUGUCCUAUGCAAUAUUUAGGACAUACUUAUACUAAAACAUUAGUUGUUAUUUUCUGAAAUUCAAAUUUAAUCAGGCGUC